Molecule: ribosomal RNA, 263 nt
Filed under: uncultured bacterium
Lineage: Bacteria
Description: partial 16S ribosomal RNA
Source: RNAcentral
CUGCUGCCUCCCGUAGGAGUCUGGUCCGUGUCUCAGUACCAGUGUGGGGGACCUUCCUCUCAGAACCCCUACGCAUCGUCGCCUCGGUGGGCCGUUACUCCGCCGACUAGCUAAUGCGACGCAUGGCCAUCCUAUGCCGGAGUCGCCUCCUUUGACCCCAAGAAGAUGUCUCCUAAAGGUGUUAUGCGGUAUUAGACGGAAUUUCUUCCGCUUAUCCCCCUGCAUAGGGCAGGUUCCAUACGUGUUACUCACCCGUGCGCCGG